RNAcentral lists this ribosomal RNA (1726 nucleotides) under Triticum aestivum (bread wheat). RNAcentral's name for it is "partial small subunit ribosomal RNA". Lineage: Eukaryota; Viridiplantae; Streptophyta; Magnoliopsida; Poales; Poaceae. The record is from RNAcentral.
GUUUUGCGUCAGUCGAUUUCUGGUCCGUUGGAUCGUGAUUUGAGAUGUGUGCUGUGGGUUUUUUCUGGAGUGCUUUCUGCUAUUCAUUUGGGCCAGCUAGCGUCGACUGAGCACUAGUUUGGGUCAGUCGAUCCGUUUUCUUGCUGGGCUCGUGCGGCUCGCGGGUGGGGAGCGCGCCCGUUAAGAAGCCCGGCCCGUUUCGAUGGCACACAGAUCAUCGCCGCUCUUCUCGUCUUGUCCCCUUCCUCAUCUCCUCGUGUUCUCAGUCACUUCGUCCCCUCUCUGCCUCAGUGUCUGGCUUCUCCUCUUCCUGCUCUUUUUUCUUUGCUAGAUCUGCUGACUAAGGUGCUUCUGUGUGGUUAUCUAUGUUGUUUGCAGGACUUUCCAAUCGGGCGGUUUGGCUGCUGUAGGAUUGCCUUGGCUGCAUACCAUCCUUUUCCAGGCAAAAAGGGUCGAGCUGAAGACAAGGCAUGAUACACCAGAUGUGAGCAACCUUCAGAAGUGUUGCAUGCUUUUAUGCUUGGAUUUGACAUUGCCGAUGCCGUUGCCUUACUUCGUCUUGAUGACCUGUAUGUGGACUCCUUCGAGAUCAAGGAUGUGAAGACACUCAGAGGGGAGCUUCUGUCACGUGCCAUUUCGCGCCUAUCAGGGAAAGGAGGCAAGACCAAGUAUGCCAUCGAGAACUCUACCAGGACUCGCAUAGUUUCCGGAUUUACCACUCGGCGGAUUUCGUUGCUGAUGGAUUGCCAUUGCUGCAUCUCCUUUUUUUGCCGCUAUGGUUUGCCCUGUUUGUCGUUGUCUGGGUGCCCCUUGUGUACCAUUGGCGCCAGAUCAUGAAGUCCCUGAAGUUUUUGAUGUUGUCCUUGAUGAGGAUUGCUUCAGGAGAAUGGCAAUCUUCCUCUGCAUCACUUUCAUUCUCACCACUACUGCAAUCCAGAUGUCCAGAAUCAACCAGAAGCUAACAUGAAGACUGAUUAAAGGAAGAGGUGGUGGGGAUCAUCUUUUACCUUGCAAAUUCAUGAAGCAGGUUCUUCUCCAGGGCGUUUGGUGGAGAAGGACUUUGCAAGGAAGAAAUUUAGCACAAGAUCUAUAGAGAGUUCAAAAGAGAUAAACACAUCUCAGGUUUGUUUCGGCGUCCAUGGCGGCGGCUGAGUCUUUGCGCUUAUAUCAAGAAAAAGAAAGAGUACAUCGCAAAUACACAUAUGGUGAGAACAUCUAUGAGUCAGCAAGGUCGGCCCAAGCUAUAUCAACUUUAGCGCAGAACUUUUCACGAGCAAGGUUGAAGCAAACUAAAAUUAAAAGACAUGGCUGGUCCAAGCCGCCUGAGGGCGUCAUCAAACUUAAUGUCGAUGUAGCCUUUGAUCAGGACACUGGUACAGGGGGUACGGGAGCAGUGCUGCGUGAUGAGGCCGGUUUCUUUGUCGCUGCUUCCUGCAGUGAUAUACCCUUUGUGGAAGACGCAGCGACGGCAGAGGCUAGAGGACUACGAGAUGGCCUCCUACUAGCGAAUGAAGUUGGUUGCAACAAAAUCUAUGUCGAAGCGGACUGUCUGGAGGUAAUCGAAAUCAUGCUGAGUGGCGGGAUCAGGACACUGGUACAGGGGGUACGGGAGCAGUGCUGUGUGAUGAGGCCGGUUUCUUUGUCGCUGCUUCCUGCAGUGAUAUACCCUUUGUGGAAGAUGCAGCGACGGCAGAGGCUAGAGGACUACGAGAUGGCCUCCUACUAG